GGGCAAGCGUUGCUCGGAAUUACUGGGCGUAAAGGGCGCGUAGGCGGGAUGGCAAGUCGGUCGUGAAAUCCUUCGGCUCAACCGAAGAACGUCGAUCGAUACUGCUGUUCUUGAGGGUUGCAGAGGAGACUGGAAUUCCCGGUGUAGCGGUGAAAUGUGUAGAGAUCGGGAGGAACACCGGUGGCGAAGGCGGUUCUCUGGGCAUGUUCUGACGCUGAGGAGCGAAAGUGUGGGGAGCGAACAGG
RNAcentral lists this ribosomal RNA (245 nucleotides) under uncultured bacterium. Its description in RNAcentral is "partial 16S ribosomal RNA". It matches the Rfam family "Bacterial small subunit ribosomal RNA", at positions 532 to 776 of the family's 1533-position model. The record is from RNAcentral.